CUUAAGUGUCUUCUCAUUUUUGUUUUUGGUACUGUCCUUGAUUUAAUUCCUGGGUUGAUAUUUCAAGAUUGCUUAAUGAAGGAAAACUAAUUAGAUCAAUCACAACAUGUUAGCCCAAAGGAUAUAGUCAGCAAUACCAUAGCAUCAAGCACAGCUUAGAAAAUGACACUUUGUGGUCGUCAUUAAUCUAUCACUUUUAAUUAUGUGAGUUAAAUUAAAACCAAGGACCAACCCAAGAGUCUUCCUAUGUAGUCCAGGCUGGCCUGGAACUUGCAAUCUUCCUGCCUCAGGCUCCUGAGUACUGGGAUUGUAGGCAUGUGCUACCAUGCCCUGCUGAAAAAUUGGCUUCUUCUUCUUUACCUACAUCUUGCCUGAUUUGCUUUGUGGUCAUAAAUGGAAAAUGUGCUGGCCAGCUGAAUUUUAAGCAAGAACAACAAUUUUCCUAUAUGAUUUGACAUGGACCUUAAAGAGUCAUUGUGCCUAGAAAAACAAAGUUGCUGUAACUUGGGUACUGGGGGAAGAAGAGGCAGAAAGUCUGGGUCUCCUCUCCAGUUAAUGGUAAUUUUGACUUUAAAAGCUAUAAGAAAAACUGAUGCCUGGAAAAGUCAGAGGGUUACUCCAGUUCAGACAGCAGCUCAAUAGCAGAAUCAAGAACAAACCUCCCCUCUCAGCCCUCUCUGUCUUACUGUGGACUAUUUCUUCCUUAUGUGUCUUACAAUUGCUGGUCACCUGGAUGCUUAAGCAGCUUGAUCUCAUUUCCUUCUGGCCUUGGAUGACCUCACUGUUAUCCUGCAUUAGCCCAUGAACUUUUGGACCAAUAAAAAUAAUGUACACCCCCAAAGCCCAAACUUCUGGGAAGAUGAUGGAGUGGUGAACGGCAGAGAAACAGCAUCUCCAAGAUUUGGUGUCCAGAUGCUGGAAUAUAGCAACAUGAGGAAGAGAAGAAGGAGGAAAGUAGGUUCCCAGGACCCAGCAAAGAUCUGAAGUGAGAAUUAAAACCCAUAGAGAGAGCAAAGAAACUCUUCAACAAAGAAGGAGGUGGCAAGCAGUGCUUUCUCCCUGAGCCCUGACUUACUGCAUGGGAGGGGCAGCCCAAACCUGCAGAUGUAUGGUGACUAAUGGAAACCCCAGAGGCCUUCAUGGAGAAACACACCAGUAGAACAAAGCAGUGAACACAGCAGACUGCAGUGGCUGGUGAAUUGUUUGGGUUCAGACAUUCCCUAGGAGAGGGUGAUUGGCCGGUAGCCAUUUUGAAGACAGGCCAACUGAGCUUGGAACUCAAAGCAACUGCUGGCUCCAUCUAGCAGUUCCCAGCAUCAGGGUGAAGUGGAACUGAGUUCAAGUCAGCAGGAGGUCAAACAACUGAGUUCAAAUUGGCAGGAGGCACACAGAGUGUUGCAGGCUGAACAAAUUGGGUUCCAGCCUCACAACCAGAAACCAGACCUAAAGGUUUCCUAAAGUGGACCUAAAGGUGCAUAUUUGCUGGGAUUAUUCACCACCCCAUCAUAAAUCUAGAGCUGGCUUGCUGGGAUUAAUUAACACAGAUCUGGUUUGCCAACUCUGCCUACCAGGGACAGCAGAGACACACCCUGAAGUAGACAUUUUUCUCCUUUUCUUCUUUUUUUGGUUUUGUUUCAUUUUCUUUUCUCUUGAUUGUUUGAUCUUGUUUUUAUGUGAGUGUGAACAUUGUUUUUAGUCUUCUUGUUGUUGUUCUGUUCCUAUUUUUAUUUUUUCCUUCUCUCCCUCCUGUCUUCUUCAACAGUUUCUCAAGGUUUCAGAGACCUUCCCUUGUCCUGUAGCCUUGCUUUUAAUCUCUUCCUCUUCCUUUUUUUUUGUUCUGGGAAUCGAACUUAGGAUGUUGUACUUGCCAGGCAGGUGUGGUUCUACUGAGCUAAAUCCCUGGCCCUCUUCCUUUUCUAUUUCUGUAU
This 1928-nucleotide long non-coding RNA is filed under the name Heterocephalus glaber (naked mole-rat). RNAcentral's name for it is "lncRNA (ENSHGLG00100033631.1)". The record is from RNAcentral. Lineage: Eukaryota; Metazoa; Chordata; Mammalia; Rodentia; Bathyergidae.